AAUGAACGCUGGCGGCGCGCCUAAUACAUGCAAGUCGAGCGAGAAGACGUAGCAAUACGUUUGUAAAGCGGCGAACGGGUGAGGAAUACAUGGGUAACCUACCCUAGAGUGGGGAAUAACUAGCCGAAAGGUUAGCUAAUACCGCGUACGCUCCUUGGACUUCGGUUCAGGGAGGAAAGCGAUGCCGAGGGUAUCGCGCUCUUGGAUGGGCUCAUGUCCUAUCAGCUUGNGGUGAGGUAACGGCUCACCAAGGCUUCGACGGGUAGCUGGUCUGAGAGGACGAUCAGCCACACUGGCACUGCGACACGGGCCAGACUCCUACGGGAGGCAGCAGUAAGGAAUAUUGCGCAAUGGGCGAAAGCCUGACGCAGCGACGCCGCGUGCGGGAUGAAGGCC
Molecule: ribosomal RNA, 396 nt
Filed under: uncultured bacterium
Lineage: Bacteria
Description: bacterial SSU rRNA
Rfam family: Bacterial small subunit ribosomal RNA
Source: RNAcentral